This 987-nucleotide ribosomal RNA is filed under the name uncultured Verrucomicrobiota bacterium. RNAcentral's name for it is "bacterial SSU rRNA". It matches the Rfam family "Bacterial small subunit ribosomal RNA", at positions 364 to 1336 of the family's 1533-position model. Lineage: Bacteria; Pseudomonadati; Verrucomicrobiota. The record is from RNAcentral.
UUUCUCAAUGGGGGAAACCCUGAAGGAGCGACGCCGCGUGGAGGAUGAAGGUUUUCGGAUCGUAAACUCCUGUCAUUGGGGAACAAUGCAACGAGAAGUAACUAUCUUGUUGUUGAUAGUACCCGAAGAGGAAGGGACGGCUAACUCUGUGCCAGCAGCCGCGGUAAUACAGAGGUCCCAAGCGUUGUUCGGAUUCAUUGGGCGUAAAGGGUGCGUAGGCGGCAAGGUAAGUUGGAUGUGAAAUCCUGGGGCUCAACCUCAGAACUGCAUUCAAUACUGCUUUGCUAGAGUACUGGAGAGGAGAUUGGAAUUCACGGUGUAGCAGUGAAAUGCGUAGAUAUCGUGAGGAAGACCAGCGGCGAAGGCGAAUCUCUGGACAGUUACUGACGCUGAGGCACGAAGGCUAGGGUAGCGAACGGGAUUAGAUACCCCGGUAGUCCUAGCAGUAAACGGUGCACGUUUAGUGUGGGAGGAAUCGACCCCUUCCGUGCUGGAGCUAACGCGUUAAACGUGCCGCCUGGGGAGUACGGUCGCAAGAUUAAAACUCAAAGAAAUUGACGGGGGCCCGCACAAGCGGUGGAGUAUGUGGCUUAAUUCGAUGCAACGCGAAAAACCUUACCUGGCCUUGACAUGCAUUUCUAAGUCGGUGAAAGCCGGCGAGUGUAGCAAUACACAACUUGCACAGGUGCUGCAUGGCUGUCGUCAGCUCGUGUCGUGAGAUGUUGGGUUAAGUCCCGCAGCGAGCGCAACCCCUGUGAUUAGUUGCCACCAACUCGUGAGAGUUGAGCACUCUAGUCAGACUGCCCUGUGAAACGGGGAGGAAGGUGGGGAUGACGUCAAGUCAGCAUGGCCCUUACGGCCAGGGCUGCACACGUACUACAAUGCCCAGUACAGAAGGAACCGAGACCGCGAGGUGGAGGAAAUCACGAAAACUGGGCCCAAUUCGGAUCGCAGGCUGCAACUCGCCUGCGUGAAGCCGGAAUCGCU